ACUUAAAUAGCUUAUGUUUAGAGUAUGAUAUUGAAGAUAUCAGGGAAGUUAUUAUAACUUUUAAGUA
RNAcentral lists this transfer RNA (67 nucleotides) under Dicronocephalus adamsi. RNAcentral describes it as "tRNA-Phe". Lineage: Eukaryota; Metazoa; Arthropoda; Insecta; Coleoptera; Scarabaeidae. The record is from RNAcentral.